Non-coding RNA from Lolium perenne, 1312 nucleotides. The record is from RefSeq and is a predicted model, not a curated record. NCBI's taxonomy places the organism in Eukaryota, Viridiplantae, Streptophyta, Magnoliopsida, Poales, Poaceae.
UUCCCAGGUAUUGUUUUAGUUGUUUUGACUGAAAAAAAAUCCAGAUGAUACCUAGUUCAGUAUUUGCUCUAAUGUUAUGAAUAAAUUAGUGGGAGUUUUUACAUGUGCAAACUGAACAGAAGUUCUUACCAAUGUAGAAAUCUGAACUGAAUGCAAAUUGUUACUGCUAAUUGAAUUUUAACAAAACGGUUCUUUGAACUUAAUUUGAACAAAAUGGCAGGCACAGCUGAAUCCGGUAGAAUCUUUACUGAAUCCACUUGAUUAAGUACUCUUCUUUUUUUAACCUGUAAUUAUCUGUUGCAUAUUGGAUCAGUUUUGGGAUUUCCAGCUGAAACUCGUCUUCUUGUUACGGAGGAUAAUUAAUUUAGUCCUCGUUGGUGUGCUGCUGGCUCACUUGCCCUGUCAUUUUUCUUUUGAAUCCUCUGUUUAUCAUACGUACAUAACUUGAACAAAAUGGCACGCACAACUGAAUGCAAAAAAAUUCUGCUACUGAAUUUGAACAAAAUGGUGCUAUUGCUCAGAACUAAACUGAAUAGCACUAGAACUAAAUGGCAACUAUUGCCCAUAGCUGAACUGAACUGAAUGGCAUCCAAAAUCAGAAAUAUCUCACCACAAUCUAGUAAAAAUGUCAUCUGUUAUUGGUCCCUGUAAAUUUAAUAGCUUGUAACUCUGAAAUUUUCCUUUGUGACACCAUUAAGUGUAAAGUUUCUGACAGGUGUAGUGUGUGAUUGUGUUCCAAAACUAACGAAGAUACUUUGAGAUUUUCCUUCUCUCGGUCCAUUUUAACAUUCAUGUGGACCUCACAAUCGGUUCUAGUUUCAGCCCGAGGUAACUUUGUUAAAUAAUCCCUCUUGUCUUGUGAUCGAAGACCUUCAUUUGCACAAACAAAUUUGCAUGAUGUAAUCUUUCCAUCGGAUGUUCUUUUGUUUGUGUACAUUUUCUAACCUCGAAGCCUUGCUGCCCGCUAUAGGUUAUCCAAAAUGCCCAAGCUUCAUCUGAAUUUCUGAAUUCCAUGCCAACAUGAGGUGCCAAACCAGGAAGUACAACUCUGCUGUGUAAAAAUAAAACAGUUUCUUGUUCCAUUGGCAAACGGGAUGCUUGAUGAAGUUCAGCAAACUACUUCCAUGAGAAACAUGAAGAUUGAUCAAGUUCCAAAGAAAUCUCAAGGUGAGAGUUUGAUCUACUGAGGUGAUUACCUUUAUGUGAAAAACUGUAUGAGAAACUGAGAAAUCUGGGCCAUAUGUACUUGUCCACCUACUGGUGUUACAAUCCAGGAUAAUGAGAAUUUACCUAAUAAUGAGAAGCAGAGCAG